This 264-nucleotide signal recognition particle RNA is filed under the name Neobacillus sp. PS3-12. Its description in RNAcentral is "signal recognition particle sRNA large type". It matches the Rfam family "Bacterial large signal recognition particle RNA". From Rfam's summary of the family: The signal recognition particle (SRP) is a universally conserved ribonucleoprotein involved in the co-translational targeting of proteins to membranes. Archaeal SRP consists of a 7S RNA and homologues of the eukaryotic SRP19 and SRP54 proteins. The record is from RNAcentral. Lineage: Bacteria; Bacillati; Bacillota; Bacilli; Caryophanales; Bacillaceae.
CCGUGCUAGAUGGGGAGAUGGCGGUGCCCUGUAACCUGCAAUCCGCCAUAGCGGGGUUGAAUUCCCUCUGGAGGUAUGGUUUUGUAAGGUUUGCCUUGUGCAAGUGGUGUUGACAACUGGGUCCUACGCAACAGAAACCCAUGAACUUGGUCAGGUACGGAAGGAAGCAGCCAUAAGUGGAACCUUUUGUGUGCCGUAGACAAGCUUGGUCGAGCUAACUGCAUGAGUAACACUUAUCUGGUCAUAUCGAGAUAGGGUGCACGG